Molecule: small RNA, 28 nt
Filed under: Bombyx mori (domestic silkworm)
Lineage: Eukaryota; Metazoa; Arthropoda; Insecta; Lepidoptera; Bombycidae
Description: ovarian small RNA-5301
Source: RNAcentral
GCAUGUAUCGAUCGUUCCUGAGCACGUG